Molecule: ribosomal RNA, 467 nt
Filed under: uncultured bacterium
Lineage: Bacteria
Description: partial 16S ribosomal RNA
Rfam family: Bacterial small subunit ribosomal RNA
Source: RNAcentral
GACGAACGCUGGCGGCGUGCUUAACACAUGCAAGUCGAACGGAAAGGCCUCUUUCGGGGGGUACUCGAGUGGCGAACGGGUGAGUAACACGUGAGUAACCUGCCCUUGACUUUGGGAUAACUUCAGGAAACUGGGGCUAAUACCGGAUAGGAGCUCCUGCUGCAUGGUGGGGGUUGGAAAGUUUCGGCGGUUGGGGGUGGACUCGCGGCUUAUCAGCUUGUUGGUGGGGUAGUGGGUUACCAAGGCUUUGACGGGUAGACGGCCUGGGAGGGUGACCGGCCACAUUGGGACUGGGAAACGGCCCAGACUCCUACGGGGGGCAGCAGGGGGGAAUAUUGCACAAUGGGUGGAAGCCUGAUGCAGCAACGCCGUGUGCGGGAGGACGGCCUUCGGGUUGGAAACCGCUUUCGCUCAUGACGAAGCUUUGUGUGACGGUAGUGGGUAAAGAAGCACCGGCUAACUACGUG